AGAGUUUGAUCCUGGCUCAGGACGAACGCUGGCGGCGCGCUUAACACAUGCAAGUCGCACGAGAAAGUGGAGCAAUCCAUGAGUACAGUGGCGUACGGGUGAGUAACACGUGGAUAAUCUGCCCUUUAGUGGGGAAUAACCCUGGGAAACCGGGGCUAAUACCGCAUAAGCCUGAGAAGGGAAAGCAGCAAUGCGCUGAA
This 200-nucleotide ribosomal RNA is filed under the name uncultured bacterium. Its description in RNAcentral is "partial 16S ribosomal RNA". It matches the Rfam family "Bacterial small subunit ribosomal RNA", at positions 8 to 222 of the family's 1533-position model. The record is from RNAcentral.